GUCCUAGAGACUAUAUAUCAUGGGUACAAGAAUUUUUUUUUACGAAGAAUCAUAUAAAAAGUGGCAAUCACUGGGAAGUAGAAUGAGUUUCGUAUUCGAAAACCUUUCACCAUAAAAUCCGGGUGGUGCUUCCCAAACUAUUAAGGAUUCCAAUAGAUAUACUAAAGAGGAAGGAGAGUGAACAUGAAGCAAACUUUAAAAGGAAGAAGUGAAAAGAGGACAAAAGAGAGUUUAACAGUAGAAAGCUAAAAAGGAAACAGAGAUGGCCACUUUCAUCUCCAAGUUUCUAAAGUACACAGAAACAUCAAACAUACCUGAAUAAUUUCACUUGGUCCACUCUCUCCUUCUCUCUCUCUCUCUCUCUUGUCAUUGAGCAUCCUUUUCAAUUUCAUUGUCACUUGUUGUCAUCUUCAUACACUCCGUGAAUAUUACAACAAGUUGUCGUUUCAUCCAAACAAAUAAAACCGGUCCCAGUUUCAGAAGAUCUUUUGAACUGCCAAGCUUUCUUUUGUCUUGUUCCCCCCUCCAAGUCCUUUUUUUCCUCAUACAAAAGAGUCUAUAAAGUCUCCAUUAGUUUACAACUAGUGAAUACUACUGUACAUAUUCAAUGUAAGAUUUGUAGGUUGGGCUAAGGAGGGUUUAGCCAUUUCCUUACACACAUAUCCGCGGCUGCAUACGCUUAUACCAUAAGAAGACGAGUUGGGGCCUAUUAGAAUC
RNAcentral lists this long non-coding RNA (717 nucleotides) under Arabidopsis lyrata. RNAcentral's name for it is "long non-coding RNA (ALYR_LNC001189)". The record is from RNAcentral. Lineage: Eukaryota; Viridiplantae; Streptophyta; Magnoliopsida; Brassicales; Brassicaceae.